AAAAAAUAUGCUACAAAAAAAAAUUAUAUAAAAAAUAAAAGUCAUUCUAUUGUUGAAAAAAUAAAAUAUAUUAAACUCGGUUUAUCCAAGAAGAUCCAGUGGCAAUACGCUCCAAAGAAGUGAAAGUCAAAGGUUCAAUCCUAUUGACUUUAAAAACAUAACUAGACCUAUUGAAAGGUCGGAUUUAUUACGGGGAGCGCAAUCCAGAUUAUUUUUGCGCUAUGUGAGAUCGUGUAACAAUCAAAUUGGCAUAAGUAGAUUGACAUUUAAAGCAACUACAGCAGAAGAUGCCCCGCGCUAUUAUUGAUUAAACAAUUCGUCAAGUUUUAUAUAGUGGAAUAAUGAUAGUUCUAGAGAUCAAACCAUUUCGAAUGACGUUAUUCCAGGUGAUACACAAAAUGCGGAUCUAACUUUCAGAACAGCUGAUGACUCUAUAGGCGACACUAUCUAAUAAUGAUAGCAGAUAAUCUGAUGGUUCUGCCAUGAUCCCUUGGAAGAAGGAGGAAUUCCUAACCCGGGAUUCUCAUGCAUCGAUCCUCUUGCCCCUUCCAAUAUAAAUAGAGAUGCUCUACUAGACGCAUAGACGAAUAAACUCGCUAAAUAUUCGCCAUCGCUUUCUGCCAACUAUACAUUCUUACCAUUACGCUACAACUCUAACAUCGUUCGGCUCUCAUAUCCUGGGAGCUGGGAAAACGGAUCUCUGUUAGGACCGAGGAUCCCAACGAGGGAUUCUACUUACGUCAAAGGUUAGCCCUAAACAUAAUAAAAUGCAACUAUCUCAGUUUUAUACUAUCAAUACCGAAACCCCCUAAUUGAACAUCCUAUGCAUAGGAUAGAUUUAGGCUAUUUUGCUCCCAAUUAUAACGUUGACGCUAAAAGGGAACUUGGAUCUCAAUCAAUAAAAGACAGCAAAA
Long non-coding RNA from Gordionus sp. m RMFG-2023, 914 nucleotides. RefSeq lists it as uncharacterized. NCBI's taxonomy places the organism in Eukaryota, Metazoa, Nematomorpha, Gordioida, Chordodea, Parachordodidae. The transcript is spliced from 5 exons. The record is from RefSeq and is a predicted model, not a curated record.